Molecule: ribosomal RNA, 497 nt
Filed under: uncultured bacterium
Lineage: Bacteria
Description: partial 16S ribosomal RNA
Rfam family: Bacterial small subunit ribosomal RNA
Source: RNAcentral
AUUGAACGCUGGCGGUAGGCCUAACACAUGCAAGUCGAACGCGAAAGUCCUUCGGGAUGAGUAGAGUGGCGGACGGGUGAGUAACGCGUAGGAAUCUAUCCUGUAGUGGGGGAUAACGUUUCGAAAGGAACGCUAAUACCGCAUACGCCCCAAGGGGGAAAGCGGGGGAUCUUCGGACCUCGUGCUAUAGGAGGAGCCUGCGUCGGAUUAGCUAGUUGGUGAGGUAAAGGCUCACCAAGGCGGCGAUCCGUAGCUGGUCUGAGAGGAUGAUCAGCGACACCGGAGCUGGGACACGUUCCGGACUCCUACGGGAGGCGGCAGUGGGGAAUAUUGCGCAAUGGGCGAAAGCCUAACUCAGCCAUACCGCGUGUGUGAAGAAGGCCUUCGGGUUGUAAAGCACUUUCAGUGGGGAGGAAAAGCUGGUGGCUAAUAUCCAUCGGCCGUGACGCUACCCACAGAAGAAGCACCGGCUAAUUCCGUGCCAGCAGCCGCCGUAA